RNAcentral lists this ribosomal RNA (322 nucleotides) under uncultured eukaryote. RNAcentral's name for it is "partial 18S ribosomal RNA". It matches the Rfam family "Eukaryotic small subunit ribosomal RNA", at positions 1470 to 1796 of the family's 1831-position model. The record is from RNAcentral.
CCCUUAGAUGUUCUGGGCCGCACGCGUGCUACACUGAGUAAUUCAAUGGGUAAGGGAACGCUAGAGCAUUACCUAAUCUUGAAAUUUGCUCGUGAUGGGGAUCGACGGUUGCAAUUUUCCGUCGUGAACGAGGAAUACCUUGUAGGCGCAUGUCAUCAUCAUGCGCCGAAUACGUCCCUGCCCUUUGUACACACCGCCCGUCGCUCCUACCGAUUGAGUGAUCCGGUGAGGCUCUGGGACCUGGACGGAAAGAGCGUUUCGCUUGUUCUGUUUGGGAAACUUGGUCGAACCUUAUCAUUGAGAGGAAGGGGAAGGCGGAACA